This 657-nucleotide ribosomal RNA is filed under the name Triticum aestivum (bread wheat). Its description in RNAcentral is "partial small subunit ribosomal RNA". The record is from RNAcentral. Lineage: Eukaryota; Viridiplantae; Streptophyta; Magnoliopsida; Poales; Poaceae.
AUGCGCACCGCCGCCCCUCUGGCCAUCGCCGGCAUCCCGCUCGAGCCCGUGGACCCGAGGAAGAUGGAGUCCAUGGAUGAUGGGAAGGAGCGGCGGCUGCCUCGUGGUGACCUCGAUGCUGCUACUGCUAUAGCAUCCUAUAGUCCGGGAACCUAUAAUGUGCUCAAUAAAUCCAUGUUUAUACCUUCCAAGUUUCACUUGCAUGUUUCCCUUGUAUUUGAUGUUGUGGCUGCAGCAAUGGUUGAUGACAACAACAGCCUUGUAGCUUCAGAAGCAACUUCACAGCAAAAUUUAUAUGAGUGGUUCGUUUUGCCUUCUUUGAUUUACAAAUUGCUAAGGAGCGGAGCAUGGAGCAGGGCUCUGAGUCGUGGUGGGUUAUGUCGGAGGGCUCUGGGUUAUGGCAGGGAAGGAGCGGAGGAACUGUGCAUCCGGGGAUGGCGUGACCGCCGAUCAUAUCCGUCGCACUGGUGCUUGACAGGUCAAAUGAUCAGCAAGGCAUGUGACAGCAUCUUCAGGCCCAACUCUCACUCUGCUGUCUCCCAUUCAACGCACUCGUCGAUGCUAGGGGUGGAUGGUUCUUUGAUGUUGGCACAACUGGAGACAGCAAGAAGCAGAGGGAGGGAGGCUAUCAUGUUGAAGAAGACGCCGGCACCCUGA